This 449-nucleotide ribosomal RNA is filed under the name uncultured prokaryote. Its description in RNAcentral is "bacterial SSU rRNA". It matches the Rfam family "Bacterial small subunit ribosomal RNA", at positions 355 to 796 of the family's 1533-position model. The record is from RNAcentral.
UGGGGAAUAUUGCACAAUGGGGGCAACCCUGAUGCAGCCAUGCCGCGUGUGUGAAGAAGGCCUUCGGGUUGUAAAGCACUUUCAGCGAGGAGGAAAGGAUAUAAGCCAAUACCUUAUAUCUGUGACGUUACUCGCAGAAGAAGCACCGGCUAACUCCGUGCCAGCAGCCGCGGUAAUACGGAGGGUGCGAGCGUUAAUCGGAAUGACUGGGCGUAAAGCGCGCGUAGGCGGUGGGUUAAGCGAGAUGUGAAAGCCCGGGGCUCAACCCCGGAACCGCAUUUCGAACUGGCCGACUGGAGUACGAGAGAGGGUGGUAGAAUUUCCAGUGUAGCGGUGAAAUGCGUAGAGAUUGGAAGGAAUACCGGUGGCGAAGGCGGCCACCUGGCUCGAUACUGACGCUGAGGUGCGAAAGCGUGGGGAGCAAACAGGAUUAGAUACCCCCGUAGUCC